RNAcentral lists this ribosomal RNA (510 nucleotides) under uncultured bacterium. Its description in RNAcentral is "partial 16S ribosomal RNA". It matches the Rfam family "Bacterial small subunit ribosomal RNA", at positions 28 to 507 of the family's 1533-position model. The record is from RNAcentral.
GACGAACGCUGGCGGCGUGCUUAACACAUGCAAGUCGAACGAAGAGCGAUGGAAGCUUGCUUCUAUCAAUCUUAGUGGCGAACGGGUGAGUAACGCGUAAUCAACCUGCCCUUCAGAGGGGGACAACAGUUGGAAACGACUGCUAAUACCGCAUACGAUCCAAUCUCGGCAUCGGGACUGGAUGAAAGGUGGCCUCUAUUUAUAAGCUAUCACUGAAGGAGGGGAUUGCGUCUGAUUAGCUAGUUGGAGGGGUAACGGCCCACCAAGGCGAUGAUCAGUAGCCGGUCUGAGAGGAUGAACGGCCACAUUGGGACUGAGACACGGCCCAGACUCCUACGGGAGGCAGCAGUGGGGAAUCUUCCGCAAUGGACGAAAGUCUGACGGAGCAACGCCGCGUGAGUGAUGACGGCCUUCGGGUUGUAAAGCUCUGCUAAUCGGGACGAAUGGUUCUUGUGCGAAUAGGGCGAGGAUUUGACGGUACCGGAAUAGAAAGCCACGGCUAACUACGUG